UACAGUUUAGUUUAAGUAGAAUGUUUGUUUUUGGUGCAAAUGGUUUAACUGUAA
Molecule: transfer RNA, 54 nt
Filed under: Parastrongyloides trichosuri
Lineage: Eukaryota; Metazoa; Nematoda; Chromadorea; Rhabditida; Strongyloididae
Description: tRNA-Gln
Source: RNAcentral